AACGAACGCUGGCGGCAUGCCUAACACAUGCAAGUCGAACGAGACCUUCGGGUCUAGUGGCGCACGGGUGCGUAACGCGUGGGAACCUGCCUUUAGGUUCGGAAUAACUCAGAGAAAUUUGAGCUAAUACCGGAUGAUGUCUUCGGACCAAAGAUUUAUCGCCUUUAGAUGGGCCCGCGUUGGAUUAGCUAGUUGGUGGGGUAAAGGCCUACCAAGGCGACGAUCCAUAGCUGGUCUGAGAGGAUGAUCAGCCACACUGGGCUGAGACACGGCCCAGACUCCUACGGGAGGCAGCAGUGGGGAAUAUUGGACAAUGGGCGAAAGCCUGAUCCAGCAAUGCCGCGUGAGUGAUGAAGGCCUUAGGGUUGUAAAGCUCUUUUACCCGAGAUGAUAAUGACAGUAUCGGGAGAAUAAGCGCCGGCUAACUCCGUG
RNAcentral lists this ribosomal RNA (432 nucleotides) under uncultured bacterium. RNAcentral describes it as "partial 16S ribosomal RNA". It matches the Rfam family "Bacterial small subunit ribosomal RNA", at positions 29 to 507 of the family's 1533-position model. The record is from RNAcentral.